Molecule: long non-coding RNA, 1395 nt
Filed under: Triticum aestivum (bread wheat)
Lineage: Eukaryota; Viridiplantae; Streptophyta; Magnoliopsida; Poales; Poaceae
Description: long non-coding RNA (TAES_LNC026380)
Source: RNAcentral
CCUAGCCUAACCCUAGCGCCGCCACUCCUCUUACUCCCUCCUGCCGUCGCGCCGCCGCCGGAGGACGCCGCCGGGUGAAACCCGUGCGGUCGACGGCGGCGGCGGGGCUUCCUCUCGCGGCGGCGCCUGGAUCUGGUGGGCACAGAUGCGGGUUGCACGUCGGCGUGCGCUAGGACGCGGGUCCUGGCGGUCGAGGCGGAGAUCCACUGCUGGAUGGACGCGCGGCUGUCCCUGGUGAUGGAUCUUCCUCGCGAUGGUGGAUGCGUGCAGGUGCGGAUGGGUGUGCGCUCUCCCGCUCCCGCGGCGCGCUCCGCGCCCUCGGGAGAUCCCGGUGUGCGGCGGCGCUGCUGAUGGCCGGGGUCGGCACGUCGCGGUGGCGCGCGCGGGCUGGCGCUGGCCGGAGGUGGGGAGCGGCGGUUGGAGGCAGGCGGCCCUGCGGUGCGGUGUGCACCGCCGCCGCCGCGCGGGUUCUCGGCUCCAUGUAGAAGAUCUGCCCCUGCUUCGAUCUGUCCCGAUCCGUGCUGGCAUCGGUCCUUGGCGGCGGCUUCGGCGUCCCCUAUGGCCGGCCUGGCGGAUCUGGCGUGCGGGUGAGGUUCCGGGGGAAACCCCUGGCUGGCGCGGCAGCUUCCCCAAAGUCGACGCCUUUGGCGCCGAUCCCCUUCCUGAAGGCUUUGGGGUGGAUCCUCUCCCUUCCGCCUCCUCCUCGAGCUAUGGCGAAAGCUUUUGUUCCCCUGGUCUGGGCGUCGACGGCACCCUGGUGUCGUGCUCCUUCUUGAAGGCGGCGGCUGGGAACAGCUCUUGGUGGCGGGGCUGCUGGUGGCGUGGUGGCUUCGGCCUUCUACUUGGUGCUGCGCCUUGCUUCGCGGGACCAGCGGACGGUUUCUUUGGUGGAGCGGUGCUGCAUCCAUCCAUUGAUGGCGACGGAUCUUGACGGCGUGGCGCAGUGCAGAUUCGGAGUUUGAUGUGUGGUGACGGUCACGCGCAGGAGGUCGACGCUGUCUGGCGUCGUGGUGGCGUCGGCGGCAGCGAGACCGGGCAAGGCCGUUACAACAGUACAGCUCUGAAGAUGGAUAUGUGGUAGGUGGUUGUGGCGGCCUCAUACCCGGCGGGCGGCCUGGUUGAGGAGCACGCCGGACUGGUGGGUGCCCAUACCCGACAGGCGUCCAGGUUGGGACCUCAGGUCUUAGAUGUUAGGUUUGGCUGCGAGGUCUGUUUGGUAUUAGGCCCAGACCAUCAGCGCCCCUUCAUCAGUUAGAUNNNNNNNNNNGCGCGCGCGGGCUGGCGCUGGCCGGAGGUGGGGAGCGGCGGUUGGAGGCAGGCGGCCCUGCGGUGCGGUGUGCACCGCCGCCGCCGCGCGGGUUCUCGGCUCCAUGUAGAAGAUCUGCCCCUGCUUCG